UACGGAGGGGGCUAGCGUUGUUCGGAAUGACUGGGCGUAAAGCGCGCGUAGGCGGAUUGGCAAGUUGGGGGUGAAAUCCCGGGGCUCAACCUCGGAAUGGCCUUCAAGACUGCUGGUCUUGAGUUCGAGAGAGGUGAGUGGAAUUCCGAGUGUAGAGGUGAAAUUCGUAGAUAUUCGGAGGAACACCAGUGGCGAAGGCGGCUCACUGGCUCGACACUGACGCUGAGGUGCGAAAGCGUGGGGAGCAAACAGG
This 253-nucleotide non-coding RNA is filed under the name uncultured bacterium. Its description in RNAcentral is "partial 16S ribosomal RNA". It matches the Rfam family "Bacterial small subunit ribosomal RNA", at positions 524 to 776 of the family's 1533-position model. The record is from RNAcentral. RNAcentral also lists the same sequence under 1 other name.